UACCUUUUGUAUAAUGGGUCAGCGACUUAUAUUCUGUAGCAAGGUUAACCGAAUAGGGGAGCCGAAGGGAAACCGAGUCUUAACUGGGCGUUAAGUUGCAGGGUAUAGACCCGAAACCCGGUGAUCUAGCCAUGGGCAGGUUGAAGGUUGGGUAACACUAACUGGAGGACCGAACCGACUAAUGUUGAAAAAUUAGCGGAUGACUUGUGGCUGGGGGUGAAAGGCCAAUCAAACCGGGAGAUAGCUGGUUCUCCCCGAAAGCUAUUUAGGUAGCGCCUCGUGAAUUCAUCUCCGGGGGUAGAGCACUGUUUCGGCAAGGGGGUCAUCCCGACUUACCAACCCGAUGCAAACUGCGAAUACCGGAGAAUGUUAUCACGGGAGACACACGGCGGGUGCUAACGUCCGUCGUGAAGAGGGAAACAACCCAGACCGCCAGCUAAGGUCCCAAAGUCAUGGUUAAGUGGGAAACGAUGUGGGAAGGCCCAGACAGCCAGGAUGUUGGCUUAGAAGCAGCCAUCAUUUAAAGAAAGCGUAAUAGCUCACUGGUCGAGUCGGCCUGCGCGGAAGAUGUAACGGGGCUAAACCAUGCACCGAAGCUGCGGCAGCGACGCUGAUGCGUUGUUGGGUAGGGGAGCGUUCUGUAAGCCUGUGAAGGUGUGCUGUGAGGCAUGCUGGAGGUAUCAGAAGUGCGAAUGCUGACAUAAGUAACGAUAAAGCGGGUGAAAAGCCCGCUCGCCGGAAGACCAAGGGUUCCUGUCCAACGUUAAUCGGGGCAGGGUGAGUCGACCCCUAAGGCGAGGCCGAAAGGCGUAGUCGAUGGGAAACAGGUUAAUAUUCCUGUACUUGGUGUUACUG
Molecule: ribosomal RNA, 855 nt
Filed under: Escherichia coli
Lineage: Bacteria; Pseudomonadati; Pseudomonadota; Gammaproteobacteria; Enterobacterales; Enterobacteriaceae
Description: partial 23S ribosomal RNA
Rfam family: Bacterial large subunit ribosomal RNA
Source: RNAcentral